UCCGUAGGUGAACCUGCGGAAGGAUCAUUACCGAGUUGGAAGUGGAGGUUGAUGCUGGUGUGUGUGUAUACGCACACAGGUGCUCGCCGACACACUCUUCAUCCACUCAACCCCUGUGCACUUUAUCAGAGUUAGUAGUAGUAGUCAUCAUUAUAGUAGUGUAAGCCAUUUGUUAUAKUCAUAGUUAGAGAAGCGGAUUACGCCUUUCUGACGGUUUGUGAUCAUAUARCAAUCUUGGUUCUUCUACUGCGACUCUAUGAACACUUUGACUUAUACAAACAGUUUACUUGUUCUUGUGAAUGUGUAAUGCUCUUUGUGAGUAGAAUACAAAUAUACAACUUUCAACAACGGAUCUCUUGGCUCUCGCAUCGAUGAAGAACGCAGCGAAAUGCGAUAAGUAAUGUGAAUUGCAGAAUUCAGUGAAUCAUCGAAUCUUUGAACGCACCUUGCGCCUCUUGGUAUUCCGAGGGGCAUGCCUGUUUGAGUGUCAUUAUCAUUCUCAAAUCCCCCUUCUUUGGGGGUUUUGGACCUUGGAGGUUUUGUAUGCUGGUACUGUUUGUAUCGGCUCCUCUCAAAUGCAUUAGCUGGACUGUAUAAGUUGCGUUGUUUGGUGUAAUAGUGCCUUGCCUAUCUAUAUUCACUGUAGCGCUUACUUGGACUGGUCUGCUUCGAAUUGUCCGCCUCUGUGUCGGACAGGUACCUUUGCUACCUUUAUAUUGACCCUUUGACCUCAAAUCAGGUAGGACUACCCGCUGAACUUAAGCAUAUCAAUAAGCGGAGGAA
Molecule: ribosomal RNA, 783 nt
Filed under: Phellinus texanus
Lineage: Eukaryota; Fungi; Basidiomycota; Agaricomycetes; Hymenochaetales; Hymenochaetaceae
Description: eukaryotic LSU rRNA
Rfam family: 5.8S ribosomal RNA (bases 337-490)
Source: RNAcentral